CAUAUUUGGUUCAUAACAAAUGGAGCAUAGAGUAAUCGGAGCAUAUCAAUAGCGUACAAGAUGAUCCGGAGCAUAUUAAUGGCAAACAGGACAUUUCAGAAUAUAUCAGUUCAUAGCGAAUGGAGCACAGAGUAAUUGGAGCAUAUCAAUAGCGUAUAAAAUGUUCCGGAGCAUAUCAAUGACAUAUGGAACAUUUCGAAGCGUAACA
This 208-nucleotide long non-coding RNA is filed under the name Musa acuminata (dwarf banana). Its description in RNAcentral is "long non-coding RNA (MACU_LNC010338)". The record is from RNAcentral. Lineage: Eukaryota; Viridiplantae; Streptophyta; Magnoliopsida; Zingiberales; Musaceae.